AGGAAGAGAAAAAGGGUAUGUAUAUUGUAUUGAUCGAGAAGAUUGUGAAUUGGUGAAAUUUAGGGUGUAUGAUGACGUCUUCUACUAGUGAGAAACCAUUAGUGGAGUUGACGAAGGGCGCUAAUGGCCUUGAAAAAGUGAUUCUCCGGGAGAUUCGUGGCAGUUCUGCCGAGGUGUAUCUCUAUGGUGGUCAGGUGACGUCUUGGAAGAAUGAUCAGAGAGAGGAAUUGCUCUUUGUUAGUAGCAAGGCCAUUUUUAAGCCUCCAAAAGCAAUUCGUGGGGGUAUUCCUAUAUGUUUCCCACAGUUCGCAAAUCGUGGCCCUCUUGAGUCGCAUGGAUUUGCCCGAAACAGGUUUUGGAGCAUUGACAAAGACCCCCCUCCAUUUCCAGCAGCUACUUCUUCUAGGGCUUUUGUUGACUUGAUACUGAAACCGUCUGAGGAGGACUUGAAAAUUUGGCCUCACAGUUUUGAGUAUCGGCUGCGGGUAGCUUUGAGUCCUGCUGGAGAUUUGAUGUUGACAUCUCGUAUUAGAAACACCAACACUGAUGGAAAGCCUUUCGCAUUUACAUUUGCAUAUCACACCUACUUCUCUGUUUCAGACAUCAGU
This 608-nucleotide unclassified non-coding RNA is filed under the name Hevea brasiliensis (rubber tree). The record is from RNAcentral. Lineage: Eukaryota; Viridiplantae; Streptophyta; Magnoliopsida; Malpighiales; Euphorbiaceae.